RNAcentral lists this ribosomal RNA (497 nucleotides) under uncultured bacterium. RNAcentral describes it as "bacterial SSU rRNA". It matches the Rfam family "Bacterial small subunit ribosomal RNA", at positions 28 to 511 of the family's 1533-position model. The record is from RNAcentral.
GAUGAACGCUAGCUACAGGCUUAACACAUGCAAGUCGAGGGGCAGCAUUAUCGAAGCUUGCUUUGAUAGAUGGCGACCGGCGCACGGGUGAGUAACGCGUAUCCAACCUUCCCCAUAGUCAGGAAUAGCCCGGCGAAAGUCGAAUUAAUGCCUGAUGUUUUCCACGGACGGCAUCUGAUGUGGAACAAAGAUUCAUCGCUAUGGGAUGGGGAUGCGUCUGAUUAGCUUGUUGGCGGGGUAACGGCCCACCAAGGCAACGAUCAGUAGGGGGUUCUGAGAGGAAGGUCCCCCCACAUUGGAACUGAGACACGGUCCAAAACUCCUACGGGAGGCAGCAGUGAGGAAUAUUGGUCAAUGGGCGAGAGCCUGAACCAGCCAAGUAGCGUGCAGGACGACGGCCCUAUGGGUUGUAAACUGCUUUUAUAAGGGAAUAAAGUGAGUCUCGUGAGACUUUUUGCAUGUACCUUAUGAAUAAGGACCGGCUAAUUCCGUGCCAG